Molecule: non-coding RNA, 67 nt
Organism: Podarcis lilfordi (Lilford's wall lizard)
Lineage: Eukaryota; Metazoa; Chordata; Lepidosauria; Squamata; Lacertidae
Source: the annotation of a GenBank genome assembly
GCCAUCGCUCAGUGGUACAGCAUCUACCUGUUGCAGAAGGUCCCGGGUUCAAACCCUGGCAUCUCCA